This 794-nucleotide long non-coding RNA is filed under the name Coffea arabica (coffee). RNAcentral's name for it is "long non-coding RNA (CARA_LNC005373)". Lineage: Eukaryota; Viridiplantae; Streptophyta; Magnoliopsida; Gentianales; Rubiaceae. The record is from RNAcentral.
AGUGAGUUUGGGGUCAAAUGGUGUUAUUGUCCGAUUAUGUGGGUAAGUGGUAAGGAUUAGGUGCUCUUCUGGGGCGUAAGCUAUGAAUCAUGACUGUUAUAAGCAUGAACCCUUUAUCAGGAUACUUGGAAGAAAUAGAUAUGUACGUCGGGUAGGAAUCUCUAAUAUGGGUGAUUUACUCUUGGGACCGUUCGACUGGAGUUGUGAAUUGUUUUAUUGUGGAUUCUUGUACUUGGGUACCAAAUAGUGGAGAGCGCUAGAAUAAGGGUUUGUAUCUUGAUUGCAUUUGAGGUGAGUUUUGAUGGCAAAGGUUAAGGCGUGGAUGAUUCUAACACUUGACUUAGUUAAUGGACUGAUUGAGGGAAUGGAUCUCGGAAGUUAUCAUGGACUAAUCUAGAAAUAGUCUAUUAGGGUUUCUAUAGACGGUGGCUAGAUUGUAGCGUACGUCAAAAAAUUUGCAGUGAAGACCUAUUUCCUUCUCCUAUGACUGUGAAGACUUGAUAAGUGUUUAUUUUGAAUGUGAGGCGGUUUGAUUGCAACUAUAUGGAUAUUUCUACCCCUCUUGUGAUAUUCUUUCCUAUACUUCCUUGACACCUAUCCACUAAUGUCUAAGUAUGGACUUGACUCGAUUUUUAUCGUGGCGAGAUUGUGAGUUUUGUAAUUAUGCAUAGGGAUUUGAAAAAAGAAUUGGGUUCUAUACCUAUAUGCAAGAGUUUGAGAUAGGAUGUGAAACUUUCGACAUACAAAGUAAGAUUUAGGGAUUCGUUAUGUAUAUAAGUGGCAAUGGUACUCCU